Mycena leptocephala is the source of this 93-nucleotide non-coding RNA. NCBI's taxonomy places the organism in Eukaryota, Fungi, Basidiomycota, Agaricomycetes, Agaricales, Mycenaceae. The record is from the annotation of a GenBank genome assembly.
UCGGAUGUGGUGCAUGCUGCACUCCCGCUUUCGCUGGCUGAAAGUUGAGGUAGAUUAAGGCGGGAGGACUGGGUUCGAUCCCCGGCGUCCGAA